This 62-nucleotide transfer RNA is filed under the name Ischnoptera deropeltiformis. RNAcentral's name for it is "tRNA-Ala". Lineage: Eukaryota; Metazoa; Arthropoda; Insecta; Blattodea; Blattellidae. The record is from RNAcentral.
AGGAUAGUAGUUAAUAAUAACAUUUGGGUUGCAUUCAAAAAGUACUGACUUCAGUCUAUCUU